This is a long non-coding RNA of Lynx canadensis (Canada lynx), 412 nucleotides long. RefSeq lists it as uncharacterized. Lineage: Eukaryota; Metazoa; Chordata; Mammalia; Carnivora; Felidae. The transcript is spliced from 2 exons. The record is from RefSeq and is a predicted model, not a curated record.
UUUAUCUCAAGUUCUGCUUCUGGGAGAACCAUACACGAGACAGAAUCUGUGCCCACGUUGAAGAGAGGGAGAUUUGCACGGAAUCAGGGGGACUCUCGGAAACGCCUGAGGAGCUGCGGGGCCAUGUCGUGACUCAGGGGAGUAACGGGCAUUCUGUCACCCUCCCUGCUUGCUGAGGUGUGGGAAACCGGAAUACCAGGGCUGUUGAGGAAGCCGAGGCUGAGAAUUGUCUUCAACGCACGGACAUGCUUAAAGUGCUAUAUUCUAAGCGACGUCUUUAAAGUUCCCAAAUCCUUUCCAAAACAGAUGGUAAACUUCUAGAAACCACAUCCCAAAAGGUAAUACCGCUUAUAAAAAUAAGUAGUUAUGAUGGAAACCAACUUGACAAUAAAUUUCAUAUAUUGAAAAAAAA